CCUACGGGGGGCAGCAGUAGGGAAUCUUCCACAAUGGGCGAAAGCCUGACGGAGCAACGCCGCGUGGGUGAAGAAGGUCUUCGGAUCGUAAACCUCUGUUGUUAGAGAAGAAAGUGCGUGAGAGUAACUGUUCACGUUUCGACGGUAUCUAACCAGAAAGCAACGGCUAACUCCGUGCCAGCAGCCGCGGUAAUACGUAGGUGGCAAGCGUUAUUCGGAUUUAUUGGGCGUAAGGGGCACGCAGGCGGUCUUUUAAGUCUGAUGUGAACGCCUUCGGCUUAACGGGAGUAGUGCAUUGGAAACUGGGAGACUGGAGUGCAGAAGAGGAGAGUGGAACUCCAGGUGUAGCGGUGAAAUGCGUAGAUAUAUGGAAGAACACCAGUGGCGAAAGCGGCUCUCUGGUCUGUAACUGACGCUGAGGUUCGAAAGCGUGGGUAGCAAACAGGAUUAGAUACCCGGGUAGUC
Molecule: ribosomal RNA, 465 nt
Filed under: uncultured bacterium
Lineage: Bacteria
Description: partial 16S ribosomal RNA
Rfam family: Bacterial small subunit ribosomal RNA
Source: RNAcentral